CCCCUAGAUGUUCUGGGCCGCACGCGCGCUACACUGAACAGCUCAACAAGUCUUAACCUUGGCCGAUAGGUCUGGGUAAUCUUUGAACGCUGUUCGUGAUUGGGAUAGACCUUUGCAAUUAUGGGUCUUCAACGAGGAAUUCCUAGUAAACGCAAGUCAUCAGCUUGCAUUGAUUACGUCCCUGCCCUUUGUACACACCGCCCGUCGCUCCUACCGAUUUCGAGUGGUCCGGUGAAUCUUUCGGACUGCGCGCAGCUUCGUGCCGUGUCGCGGAAAGUCAGGUAAACCUAAUCACUUAGAGGAAGGACAAGUCGUNACA
Molecule: ribosomal RNA, 319 nt
Filed under: uncultured eukaryote
Lineage: Eukaryota
Description: partial 18S ribosomal RNA
Rfam family: Eukaryotic small subunit ribosomal RNA
Source: RNAcentral